Molecule: unclassified non-coding RNA, 201 nt
Filed under: Hevea brasiliensis (rubber tree)
Lineage: Eukaryota; Viridiplantae; Streptophyta; Magnoliopsida; Malpighiales; Euphorbiaceae
Source: RNAcentral
GGAUUUCACAUAUCUCAGCGGGUCUCAGCCAACGAUGCUGCACUUCGGAUAAUAUCUGUGUUAUGUCUAAUCGAAAUCCAGGAGGAUCCGAUCCACAAUCCUCCAUUGAUGAUGACUUGAUCAGAAGACCGACGCGAGCUUCAGAGUAUAGAGAAGAUGAAUGUGAAUGAAAAUGAGAACCGAGAAUGUUUGGUGUGAAUG